UACGUAGGGAGCAAGCGUUGUCCGGAAUCAUUGGGCGUAAAGCGCGCGUAGGUGGCCUCAUAAGUCCGCUGUGAAAGUCCAAGGCUCAACCUUGGAAAGCCGGUGGAUACUGUGAGGCUAGAGUACGGAAGAGGCGAGUGGAAUUCCUGGUGUAGCGGUGGAAUGCGCAGAUAUCAGGAGGAACACCAAUAGCGAAGGCAGCUCGCUGGGACGGUACUGACGCUAAGGCGCGAAAGCGUGGGGAGCGAACAGGG
Molecule: ribosomal RNA, 254 nt
Filed under: uncultured bacterium
Lineage: Bacteria
Description: partial 16S ribosomal RNA
Rfam family: Bacterial small subunit ribosomal RNA
Source: RNAcentral